UUCCGGUUGAUCCUGCCGGAGGGAACCCCUAUCGGGUUCAGACUAAGCCAUGCGAGUCGGCUGGGGGCACUUGCCCCUGGCGGCGCACGGCUCAGUAAUACGCGGUCAACCUACCCUGGGGACCGGGAUAACCUCGGGAAACUGAGGCUAAUCCCGGAUGGGUGUAGGGUGCUGAAAUGCCCCUACGCCGAAAGUAGGCGGGAAAUGGACCGCUGAGGCCCCAGGAUGGGACCGCGGCCUAUCAGGUAGUAGGUGGGGUAACGGCCCACCUAGCCUACGACGGGUACGGGCCCUGAGAGGGGGAGCCCGGAGAUGGGCACUGAGACAAGGGUCUAGGCCCUAAGGGGCGCAGCAGGCGCGAAGAUUCCGCAAUGCCCGAAAGGGCGACGGAGUGAACCCGAGUGCCACCCGCUGAGGGUGGCUGUUCCCCUGUGUAAAAAGCAGGGGGUAGGAAGGGGAGGGCAAGGCUGGUGGCAGCCGCCGCGGUAAAACCAGCUCCCCGAGGGGUUCCCACGCAUACUGGGCCUAAAGCGUCCGUAGCCGGCCCUGUAAGUCCGCAGUUAAAUCCGCCUGUAGACAGGCGGGCUGCUGCGGAUACUGCAGGGCUAGGGAGCGGGAGGAGCCGGGGGUAUUCCCGGGGGAGCGGUAAAAUGCGUAGAUCCCGGGAGGACCACCAGUGGCGAAGGCGCCCGGCUUGAACGCGUCCGACGGUGAGGGACGAAAGCUGGGGGAGCAAACCGGAUUAGAUACCCGGGUAGUCCCAGCCGUAAACGAUGCC
RNAcentral lists this ribosomal RNA (778 nucleotides) under uncultured archaeon. RNAcentral's name for it is "bacterial SSU rRNA". It matches the Rfam family "Archaeal small subunit ribosomal RNA", at positions 1 to 764 of the family's 1478-position model. The record is from RNAcentral.